GCCUCUAUCAUUCUCUAUGGUCCCUUCCUGUUUGGUUCCGUUUGCUCUGUUUACUACCGUUUGGUUCUUAAACUGAGUCAUUUAAAGCUACUGUAUCCAACUUAGCUGGGUCUUCUCCAUGGCUUACCUGGUCACAGACUAUGAGAAGAAUGAAGACUUCCUGCGUAAAAUACACAGGGUUUUGCUGGAGGUGAAGGUGCUGGAGGGCUGUCUGCAGUGCCCAGAGUCUGGCCGUGAGUUCCCCAUCUCCCGGGGGGUCCCCAACAUGCUGCUGAAUGAGGCAUAGAGGAGAGUGGUUGGGGGGGGGUUGGUUACCCCCAACAUGGGCUCUUAGAUGUACAGAGAGAAAUACACCACUUAUCCAUACGGUAACCCCCCCAUUCGCCCUUCUCCACCAUCUCACACCAACCAUUCAUUGUAUGGGACUGCUGGCAUUAGAAGUGAGGGCAAAAAAUGGAUUCCUGUUUAAGACUGUAUAGGAAGAAAUAUAUGUUGAAGUGGUUAUAUAGUACAGUACAUGGGGCAAUGGGAUGUGAAUACACCGCCGCCCCCAGAAAACCACAGAACGGAUCUGAAUGCUUCUAUGUUGUCCAAUAUCUGGGAGAUGAUUUUGUUUAAUUUAUUAAUUUAAUAAAAAGUAUAAUUCCUUGG
Molecule: long non-coding RNA, 651 nt
Organism: Salvelinus namaycush (lake trout)
Lineage: Eukaryota; Metazoa; Chordata; Actinopteri; Salmoniformes; Salmonidae
Exons: 3
Source: RefSeq, a predicted model, not a curated record